AUUUGAUCCUCAAAUUUUUAUGGGCUUUAAGCAAAUUAGGUUUAGUCAUCUUCUUCCUUCGAUAUUCUCUGUCUCGCAGCCGUAAGUUCUAUGGAACUUAAUACCGAUUAGCUAACCCUUACGUCUUCAGUUUGCAUUAAAAUGUACUUUAUUCCUAGCUUUUACGUGGUUAACCCACUCAUGAAGCAUUCAAUCGACUCAUCGAUUUCCAAAGUAACCAACUAAAGCAACGAGUAUAAAUACACCAACUUCCAGCGAUGAACAGCAUAACUACAACAAGCUCUACAAGGAUAGUUUGUUCAGCUUACCAAUUACGACAACGGCGAAUUCCUACAUCCUUGGGAGCUGCUCCAACACGUUGAGACCAUGGAAAGAACAUGGGAAAAGAUCCAAUUUUAUUCAUCUUUUUACUCAACGCCGAUUUGUUUGGUGGUAGAGGAGGACAUCUACUCUUCUUUGCUGUUUAAAAUCAAUCUAGAUCUGAACCUCUCCAGCGUAUCCUAGCAGAUUCCGAAGACUUUAAAAUCACAUCAGAGCCUGAGGUUGCGAUUACACCAAGUUUGCAGCUUCAGAUGAUCAUUGUCUCCGUUCUUUAAACAUGGGAUGACAGAGUAUGUCAUCGGAGAUUUCAUCAAUAUAUUUGGAAGCGUAGCUAUUAAUUUUGGCACAAACCUUCUCAAAUUGAGACCUAAUCAAGUUUGCAUUUGCCUCAGUCAGUACCAUUUGGUUGCAUUUGUCCUUCUGAGCCUUACUCUGUUGGUUUUGUGUAUUAUCAGAGAGAGAGAGGUUAGCUUUACAGAAUAAUGGUGGAGGAGAAACGCAAUUGAUGCCGCAUAUACAGUUUCAGACAUGGAUAGUUAAUAGCAACUGUUGAUAAGAUUAAAAGGUCAAGAAAAAAAAGUAUAGGAUGAGAACAAGUGAGGAACCGCCAGUAUGUGUGACAUGCUUUUCAUAGCAACGUCGCACUCCUUGCCAAAUUCAUCUUCUCUCUUGACCUGAGCUAAGGUUCAUAAAUCAAAUGAAAAAUAUGAAGGUAGCUACUUGACUCCAUGUUCAAGUAAUGGUGGAUAAGUAUGAAGUCAGCUGUGAUGGUAUGAAAGGAUACUUGACUCCAUGGGCCUAUAUUCAGGUCUCCAGUGAAGGGUAUGGAGGGCAUCUUGACCAACCAACUCAUGUGAGAUCACGGACCUAGAUCAGAGGCUUUUCUAACUUUUAACACCUCAGCUUCCCCGCCCGUCACACUAUGGGAGCUGGCCAUGCGAAUCUUUCUCAGUCUCUCUCGCUCUUCUUCUUCUCCUAUGAUUAUUGUUUCCAGUCUUCACAACAUUUUUUAACUGCGGCACUAAAAGGGUUUUACUUAAACCAAACUUUGUA
Long non-coding RNA from Brassica oleracea var. oleracea, 1374 nucleotides. RefSeq lists it as uncharacterized. Lineage: Eukaryota; Viridiplantae; Streptophyta; Magnoliopsida; Brassicales; Brassicaceae. The transcript has 4 exons. The record is from RefSeq and is a predicted model, not a curated record.